RNAcentral lists this ribosomal RNA (1012 nucleotides) under uncultured bacterium. RNAcentral describes it as "bacterial SSU rRNA". It matches the Rfam family "Bacterial small subunit ribosomal RNA", at positions 26 to 999 of the family's 1533-position model. The record is from RNAcentral.
GGAAAAAGGGGGGGAGGGCUAACACAUGCAAGUCGAGCGGAAACGAGUUAACUGAACCUUCGGGGAACGUUAACGGCGUCGAGCGGCGGACGGGUGAGUAAUGCCUGGGAAAUUGCCCUGAUGUGGGGGAUAACCAUUGGAAACGAUGGCUAAUACCGCAUAAUAGCCCGGUUCUUCGGAAUGGGUCUCAAAGAGGGGGACCUUUUAGGCCUCUCGCGUCAGGAUAUGCCCAGGUGGGAUUAGCUAGUUGGUGAGGUAAUGGCUCACCAAGGCGACGAUCCCUAGCUGGUCUGAGAGGAUGAUCAGCCACACUGGAACUGAGACACGGUCCAGACUCCUACGGGAGGCAGCAGUGGGGAAUAUUGCACAAUGGGCGCAAGCCUGAUGCAGCCAUGCCGCGUGUAUGAAGAAGGCCUUCGGGUUGUAAAGUACUUUCAGCAGUGAGGAAGGUGGGUAUGUUAAUAGCAUACACAUUUGACGUUAGCUGCAGAAGAAGCACCGGCUAACUCCGUGCCAGCAGCCGCGGUAAUACGGAGGGUGCGAGCGUUAAUCGGAAUUACUGGGCGUAAAGCGCAUGCAGGUGGUUUGUUAAGUCAGAUGUGAAAGCCCGGGGCUCAACCUCGGAAUUGCAUUUGAAACUGGCAAACUAGAGUACUGUAGAGGGGGGUAGAAUUUCAGGUGUAGCGGUGAAAUGCGUAGAGAUCUGAAGGAAUACCGGUGGCGAAGGCGGCCCCCUGGACAGAUACUGACACUCAGAUGCGAAAGCGUGGGGAGCAAACAGGAUUAGAUACCCUGGUAGUCCACGCCGUAAACGAUGUCUACUUGGAGGUUGUGGCCUUGAGCCGUGGCUUUCGGAGCUAACGCGUUAAGUAGACCGCCCUGGGGAGUACGGUCGCAAGAUUAAAACUCAAAUGAAUUGACGGGGGCCCCGCACAAGCCGGUGGAGCAUGGUGGUUUAAUUCGAUGCAACGCGAAAGAACUUUACCUAACUCUUGAAAUCUAACAGAAAGCC